RNAcentral lists this long non-coding RNA (929 nucleotides) under Homo sapiens (human). Its description in RNAcentral is "lymphatic endothelial transcriptional regulator lncRNA 1". Lineage: Eukaryota; Metazoa; Chordata; Mammalia; Primates; Hominidae. The record is from RNAcentral.
GGGCCGGCAGACAGGCCAUCCAUCAUCCGCCCUCCUCCCGCGGAGCGCCGCAGCCGCCGCGGCCAAUCCGGCGGCAGGUGGGGCCGCACCUGCGCGACAGCCCGCCGCUUCCCUCCGCUCCCUUCGCCGCGCCUCGCGUGCUAGCGGUGCCCUUGUGAGCCACUGCGUUCUCCAAGGCCAGAACGGGACAGAUGGAGAAAUUGAGAUGAGAGCUCAUCCACAAGAUUACCCAUCAAUGAGCACCAAUAGCAACCAAAUCCACUAGAAGACUGGGAGCUUUUAAGUCAAGAAACUUACAUCAGUAUCAUCAUUCCAAGAAGCGGUAUCCAAGCUGUUUUAUCGAAAGUGCGCAUGGGAGAAACCCCUUUCUGAGGCACAGACCCUGCAGGCUCUGAAGAAAUAGGAUAGAUUAUUUCAGCUCUCUCAGCUUGGGAAGUGUGUUUGGAAGAGCAUCUUCCUAGCUGCAAUAAUAAACAGCUCCAGCUGCAAGAGCUUUGCUAAACAAGCCUGGGCAAAACCGUUGGAUUCCUUUCCUUUGACCAUCUUAGAUUUCCCCUGCAAGAGGCAAGGCAGGGAGCCUGCCCUGGAAAUGUCCUCCUAGCCCUGCCCUGUGCAGCUCUGCGCUUCCCCAGGAACACACUCCCUCCCCCAGUCCGCCGCCCCACUUUUGUUUUAUUUACGAAUAUGUUGCCAGAAUUCCAAUGAGUUAUCUAUUCUGUGGCCCCUUCAUUUUCCCACCGAGGCCUUGUCGCCGGCUGACUCAGGGUCCAGUCGCAACAGUGAGAAGAAAAGAAGAGAGCAAAAGAAUUCUUUUCAACUUUUUUUUUUUUUAUGUUUCACUCAUUUCUCUCUCUGUCUCCCCCAGGCCUCCUCCCCUCUCCUGCUCCCUCGUUCCCCCCACUCCCCAGCCUCCUAGGCUCUCCUUUACC